GAGGUGGGAGGAUUGCUUGAGCCCGGGAGGCAGAGGUUUCAGUGAGUAGUGAUCGCAUCACUGCACUCCAGCCUGAGUGACAGAGCAAGACCUUGUCUC
Molecule: microRNA precursor, 99 nt
Filed under: Colobus angolensis palliatus
Lineage: Eukaryota; Metazoa; Chordata; Mammalia; Primates; Cercopithecidae
Description: miRNA (ENSCANG00000012326.1)
Source: RNAcentral